RNAcentral lists this ribosomal RNA (433 nucleotides) under uncultured bacterium. Its description in RNAcentral is "partial 16S ribosomal RNA". It matches the Rfam family "Bacterial small subunit ribosomal RNA", at positions 29 to 507 of the family's 1533-position model. The record is from RNAcentral.
AACGAACGCUGGCGGCAGGCCUAACACAUGCAAGUCGAGCGAGGACUUCGGUCCUAGCGGCGGACGGGUGAGUAACGCGUGGGAACGUGCCCUUUGCUUCGGAAUAGCCCUGGGAAACUGGGAGUAAUACCGGAUGAGCCCUUUGGGGGAAAGAUUUAUCGGCGAAGGAUCGGCCCGCGUUGGAUUAGGUAGUUGGUGGGGUAAUGGCCUACCAAGCCGACGAUCCAUAGCUGGUUUGAGAGGAUGAUCAGCCACACUGGGACUGAGACACGGCCCAGACUCCUACGGGAAGCAGCAGUGGGGAAUCUUAGACAAUGGGGGAAACCCUGAUCUAGCCAAGCCGCGUGAGCGAUGAAGGCCUUAGGGUUGUAAAGCUCUUUCAGCUGGGAAGAUAAUGACGGUACCAGCAGAAGAAGCCCCGGCUAACUCCGUG